Molecule: long non-coding RNA, 1148 nt
Organism: Mus musculus (house mouse)
Lineage: Eukaryota; Metazoa; Chordata; Mammalia; Rodentia; Muridae
Product: predicted gene, 51750
Exons: 3
Source: RefSeq, a predicted model, not a curated record
GCAUUAUGGGUCUGCAGAACCGAAGGAUCCGGCACUCAACCACCUCUCCUUCCAUCUCACGGAGCUCCUCCUCUUCGCCAUCUAAUUAUUUAUUUCACGUGUGUGAGUGCACUGUCGCUGUCUUCAGACACACCAGAAGAGGGCAUCGGAUUCCCAUUACAGAUGGUUGGGAGCCACCAUGUGGUUGCUGGGAAUUGAACUCAGGACCUCUGGAAGAGCAGUCGGUGCUCUUAACCGCUGAGCCAUCUCUCCAGCCUCCUAGUUCUUAAUUUCUGACAGUCAUCCUAGAAGAGACAAAAGCGCAACCUACUGAGAAGGGGAUGCUACUUCAAUUUUCUUUACCUUUUAGCGAUGCUGGAGGUGACAAAUUAUUCAGCCUGACACCACUCACAAGGUAACAGACUUCUUUCUGCCCCUCAGAUAUGGAAGUGAAAAGUUGCAUGUCAUCUGUUGGCCUAACAGAGUGCUCUAUGGGGAGGCAAGAGGCAGAGCUAAGAUUAUUAUCCCGUCUUUGAAAAGUCCCAUUUCCCUAAAAACCCCGAGAAGGAACUCAGGUGAGAAAGACUAAGCAGAGACGUACUGGUUCACCAAGUGUUCUAGAACAUCUUAUUUUAGCUAACACUGAUACAUGGAUCUCUAAAAUAACUCAAAAUUACUUUAUGUUCCUUUCUCACCCCCCCAAAAGAAAAAAAUGGUAAUAUUGGUGUCUCUAUAAUACUUUUAAUUUUAGAAUACUAGGUUCACAGCAGGCCUAGACUCCACGCUGUCACCUAAAGUAAUAUAGAGCUACGUGCUCAUUCAUAUGCCCACUGAGCUUAUUUGGCUACAGCCAGAGGGAGAUUUAAAAUAGUGAGAUUUGAGAAUAAACAUGCCUAGUAAGGGGGUCUACCCAUACUCAACAUGCUUAUCCCUUAAGUCAUUCAUAUAAUACUUGGUAGGUGAGGUACAAAGACAAAGGUGAACAGUUGAGUCAAGCUCCUCAUCUCCUGAAGGGAUAAAUCAUGCUCUCAAAGACAGCAAAGAUGUAAGUGGUUCACCAGGGAGCACUCAUGGUAAGUACUAGACGGUGCAUAUCCACAUUUACUAAUUAUUUGUAAUUCAUUAUUUAUUAAAGACUGUGCUGGCUGGUUUUAUGUCAACUUGACACA